AUUUGACAGCAAAGUACUGUAGGUCAAAUGGGGCCAGAAGUGGUAUUCAAAUUCAAUAGCACAGGGAAUAUGUCCAACCAAAACUGGAAACCCUACUCCCCACCCAGUCUGCAGCUCUGAGUCUCCAGCAAGUAACCUCCUAGAAUGUUCUGGAUCUUUGUGGAAUGUGGUGGAACCUUCCAGACUUUCUGAGAAUUAUAUUUUCCUUGAACCUCGUAGAAUGUUGUCAGCCAUGCCCUCACAGGUAUAUAAGGGGUGGGGGAUCACGAAUGAGUGAGAUAUAAGAAUGAAGCUAUGAUAUUGUGAACCUCAUUUUAUUGUGUAAUUGUGAAAGUGUAUUUGUGUUUCAAGACUUGAAGAGUUAAAACAGUGACUAAUGACACACUAGAGAUAUAUAUCAAACCCCUAUCUAUGCAACAAUAUAAAAGAAAUACUGUUACUACUUUUACCAAGCUUCACACAUAAUGUUUGAUGACUUAAUAUUAGUACAUUUCAGUUAGUCUUAAAAUUAAAAAGUUUCUAUAAGGUUAGAGGAAAUGAAUUUUUGUAUUUGCUUAUAUAUGGCAUGGAUAAACACAGAUUUACAGAUCCUAGUAUGCAAAUGUAUCAUCUUAUAUGACAGGGAUAAGUCAUGCAUGCAAAUCGUGCAUCAAAGUCAUGAAAUGGCUACAAAUGCAAUAAACGUAAGGUAUUCAAAAAUUUAACAAAUGGAGGGGGAGGGUGCUGAAGAUGCUCCUUGCCUGGGGAGCCAUUUGGCCUAGGGAUUAUCUAAAUAUUUGAAGUGUGAUUUGAGUACAGUGCAGAAGUACCUUCACAGGGAGAAAAUGCUGCAUAGUAAUGGAUCUUUAAUCAAGCAAAGUAAUGCAUAACAAAAAACAGUAGCUGGAAGCUGAAGCCAGACAAAUUACACUUGGAAAGAAGGCACAGAUUCUUAGCAGUGUGUCUGAUUAACCAUUGGAACAAAUUACCAAGCAAAGUAGAGAUUUUACAUCUCCUGUUGCCUGCAAAUCAAGGCUGCAUGUGUUUCUGGAAGAGCUGCUUUAGCCAGACACAAGUUAUUGGGUUCAAUACAGCAGUAACUAGGUGAAAAGUAAUUGCCUGUGAGAUACAGGAGGUAAAACUAGAUGGUCAUUUCUGGGCUUAAACUCUAUGAAUCAAUUACUAUGAAUCCAUAUUAAACCAGACCCUCGCUAGAAUGCGCAUCUAUAUAGUACGAAUUCGCAUAUAAUGCAGUCGCAGCCAUGGAUCCCAAAUUUAAUUGCAAUUAAUUUAAUUAAUUGCAAUUCAUUUUAAUGCAGUUCCCGCUAUAACGCGGUCCCCAUGUUAACGCGGUACUGUGCAUGGAUCCCAAAUCUCAUGUUCUAGCGAAAGUCCGGUAUAUUUCAGUAUUUUUAGUAUGUUCUCACUUCGACUGCACAUUGAGAAUGUUAAUAGCCUGUGCUAUGCUGUGUCUUGGUCAGCUCUGGUUGUAUGUUCCUUGUGUGACCAUGUGAAUUAUUUUAUUUUUUCCAUUCCUCACUACUUGUGCCUGGUGCAAUUAUCCCAGGGAACAAUAUUUUAAAUAAAGCCUAGGGAUAUUACAGGAUCUAUUAUCAUCUUCUUAAGUAGAGAGAGAACUUGUAUGUUUACAUGAGUGCUGCACGCACAUGUAGAAACUCUCCUUCAACCCUACAAUGAUCCAUUACAGUGGGAAUGCUUCCAACGCUAUUUCUGUGCUAUCAGGCACCUACCAGAAAAAACACAGUAUUUAAAAUAGGGUUGACCAGCAUUUCUUUAAGAAAUAUUUCCACAAAUUUCUUAGUGUAUGGAACUGGUACCUCUUAUCAGUAUCUGUGCAGAAUGAUUAUUUAUAAAAGCUCCAGUUUAGAGAAGAAGAUGAUAUAAAGGUAUUAAAAAAUGAAAUGGUUAUGUCCACCCACCUGAACUCAAGUAGAUGUCACAUGGGAAGAAAAAGGCAGCCCAACUUUGAUAAACACAAUGUACAGAGCUGGAUUGGGAUUUGAGUGAAGAAUGUGGAUAACCUGGCACUUUCUAAAAUAGACUAAAGUUACAUUACGCAAACAUUGAAGUCCUUGAAGGCAAGAAGUUUGGGAUCUGAAAACUUGUGAUCUUGAUCUUAAAAUAUAUAUUUGUAGUUCUACUACAGAACUACAUUCACCUCAGGGAUGGCUCUGGGACAGAAGUGUUGGAACCAUUUACCCAGCUUCAUACCACCUUCUGUGACUGGUUACUUAGGAUUCAGGACUACUGUACUUUGUGAUAGAGGUGAGGUACAAAGUAGCUGACAUGCCAGGGGGAAUCUGAGCCUUCUUUGUAAAAUGCUUUCCAAGUGUUCCAGUAUGGGGUUAGUAUCUCAAAUGACAUGACAAUAUCACCACAAAUAUUGGAGAACCAUAAAGCCAACAUUGUUCCACAAAUGAUAGUUUCCCCCUAAAGCCCUCAAGGAAAUGAGGACUGUUAAUGUGACCAGACAGGAGAGAUCUUUUGUACUGCUUUAAAAUGCUUAAGGAGGAUAUCAUCUUGGUCCCACCGAAGUCAGUGGGUGUUUUGCCAUUGUCUUCCAAGGGGCCUGUGUUUUCAUUCUCUGUGAUGUAUCAUAAAUGCUGAGUGGAUGCUUUAAUUUCUAUGAGCUCAUUUCUGCUCCGCGUUGAGAGUGCUCUGAGAUUAAUAUAAUGGCAGCACAUCUUGUGCAAAAGUAAAAUAAAGGGACUUUCUAUCUCCUAUCUGAAUAACCAAAAAAGUAUCAAUCCAGCCCAAUAGUGAUAUCUCAAGGAUUGUACUGUUGCUAAUACUUCUCUGCCUUGUUAAAUUGUAGUAUGCUUGAUAUUGAAAUUGUUUUGGAUGUAUGGUUGAUUAGAAAUAAGAUAAAUUAUUAUCCUGUUUAAAAUUGGAAAUAUUACUGCAUAUAAGUGGGCGAACUCUGAAGAAUUUAUUGACAAUAAAACACGGUGAACUUAGGGUCAAUUAGAAGUAAUUUCUAACAACUCAAUUUUUAUAACACAAAGCAAGAAUGCACAGUAGACAUAAUUAAUAUUCACUUGGAUUGGGGCAUGUAUGUGUGUGCAGUGCUUAGAUAUAUGUCCUGCAAAAGCAAUCUGCCCGGGGAAGUGUCAGCAUCCAACACAAACAUCAUCCUCCAUGUGAUUGGACAGGGAGUCUUAAAAGAGCUAUUACUUUUUUGCAUUAAUUUGAUCUCUCAUGUCUGUGGAGCAAGUAAGUCCAGAUCCUCAGCUGUGAACACUAGAAAAAAAACAUAAUUGACAUUUUACCUCCAAAACUUGUCACUCCUGGCACUGAAGGUUUAAACACUGUGGGCCAGAUCCUUAUCUGGUAUAAAUCUGUGUAACUCCAUUGAACUUAGUAGACUGAUGCAGAUUCAUACCAGUUGAGGAUCUGGCACAUAGUUAAGUGAGGCAGGGUGGGAAAGUGGAUAGAGUACUGUGAUUUAAGAUAGAUGUUCUAGACCUAUCUUGGCCAUUGCGUUGCUGGGUGAGCUUGGGCAAAUGACUUUGCUUCUCUGUGCCUCAGUGUCCCAAUGUGUAUAAUGAUGCUUACUUGCUUUUGUCAAACACUUUGAAAUCUACGGAUGAAAAGCAUUAUAGCAGAGUGUUGUUAUAUAGUGUCGCUAUUUUAUACUCACCGCAAGCUAGAUUUUUGCUAAUUAUAAAAAUACUGAGUCAAAUUUUUCCCAAACAAUUGUUGCUUUUCUUUGUAUUUGUUCUUCAGAUGUUGAGCUCAAGCCCAGCAGUAGUUAGAAGGGGAAAAAAGUGUGUUCCCUUCUCUUGCUGUAAACAGGACCUCAGUCCAAACUGAAGUAUUUGCCAUUUUUCUUCUAUCCUGUAAAUGGCAUAGCUUAACCUGGAACUGGUCUCUUAUUACAAAAUAGGCAUUUAGUAUGGGGGGAGGCACAGAAAAUGAACAUGGAUCUACUGAACAGAUUUAGAAAAGAUUUUAUAUUCUAGAGUACCAUCAUGCCACUGUCUCACUCCCUCAGUCUUGCCCUUGGUAUCAAUGAUAAACUUGUAAAAACCCUUCUUUAUUUGACAUUAUGGUCCGUAUCCUCAGCUGCCAUAAAUCAAUGGAGCUCUGACAAUUUUAAUGGUGCUCUGUUGAUUUACACCAGUGAGGAUCUAAUCUUAUAAUUUCCACCCCCCUCCUAAUCACUUAGGGUGACACUAAAGAUGUGGUUGAUCCCAGUGCAAUGGGCCUUUAAGGAUUGUGGCAAGUGGUGCAUAGGGCCUUAUAUGGGCCCAAAGCACCUAGGUAAAUUUCACCUUCCAAUACAUAUUUAGUGACAUCUUCUUAUGCCCACUCUUUCCAAUAUUUUAAGUGUCUGUGUCUAGCAUAUCCAAUAAAAUGAAUACAUAAAUGUGUCAUUUCGAUGCCAUUAUGGAACAGCUUUAAAUUAAUCCAUGUCAAAGGAAUAUAUUCUCUAUGGGUAGAGAUUUUUUUUUAUACGACCUUUUCCCCUACAAACCAGUGUAUUUUCCUCCAGACACAGGUAGCAUAGCUUUUAAGUAUUAAUUAAACUCUCUCAAACAAAGCAGGUUAAAGUGAUAUCCUGCAGCUCUGUGUUGUUUCCGUGUAUUAGCACAGGGAAAUACUAUUUUCACUUUGAUAAAUAAAGCGCUCCUUGUCUCUUGUGCCUUUUGUCUGUAGGCUAUUGUGUAUGUGACUAAAGCCAUGCAUGACUUGAGCAAAUGUUUAAAUAGGUUCUUGUGCAAUAGAGCUGAGUAAACAGUUAGCCAUACCCCUUUAGCUUUCUGAUGAAAGCAUUGAUGCAAAUGUGCUGGCACAAAACAAAGUAAAACUGUUUUUGUGAGAGCAGCAUCAAUUGCUGGAUAAUCUUGUUUCUGCUCUUGAUUUUUUGAAUUGAUGUGUUUAUUUGCUACUCUUAGAUAUCUGUCUAUUUUAAUAUGCAAGUAUGAGAAAUUAGGUGUGAGCGUUAGAUUAGGAGGUAAAAAACAAGGUGUACAAUAUAAUCUGUCCUCCAUUCUUAAGUAUGAAAUCCCUACGAUGGAGGCAUUAUUGUGAUUGGAACUCUGUCAUACUGUCAUUUGCACAUCAGGCUAUUAAUUAGUUCCUUAAAAACAGUAGCUAGUGUUUUUUUCUCUCUAUGCAUAUGAAUCUUUCAAGACUGAACUAUUUUUUUCUCUUCUCUGUAUAUACAACAUGAAUAUUGUGAUGGGGAUUUGGAAUGUGCCACACUGCUGUCUGCGAAGCUGUUUCCUUAACGGUCCACCUUAUUUACUGCCAAAUCAAUGCACUGUCAGCUGUAGUUAUGUGGCAUAGCAAUCACAUGAGGUCAAUCAAUUGAAUCCUAGUGACCUGGUUUGGUAUUUUAAAAUGUCUUAAAUUAAAAUCCCACAAAUUAAAAGAAAUAGACAUCUGAUGCUACUGCAGGGCCAAGCUACUACAGUAGUCUGACUGUUGUGAACAAGCUGGCAAUGAGAAGUAUCCCUAAAACAGCCACUCGGGGCAGAGGAGAUCCUACUCCCCAGUGCAGGUGCAGUCAGGGAGAUUAACUGUCCAUAUCAACUCCAUCCAAAAUAAUAAUAACAAAAAGGCCAAGAAGUUGUGAUCUCUGCAGAACAAGCUCUGUUGCCAAGACUUUUUUUUUAUCAUUUUGCGUCAAGGACUGUAAGCGGAUUGCUUAACAUAUGAGCGACACCUCCCCAGCUGAAUUUAAUUAUUUUUCAUAUUUAUUUAUGGAUUGAUUGUGUAUUUAGAAAAAAAUUGAUGUCUGCAAAGUCUAUGGUCUGAUUCAGUCACACUUUGUGCCAUUUUACUACUCUGUAUUAUAUAAUUUUGCUAUUAAGGAGCUAUAUAUAUAAUAUAAUUGCCCUGAUGGAAAAUGUAUUUAUAUUUUUAUAGCCUUUAGGCUACAUUCUUGGUUGUGGGGGAAUUAUGGUCUGUGGAGGAUGAAUACACUUUUCUCACCAGAACAGCUGGUAAUUCUCUAGUGACUGGUGUUUGUUUUAAAGUCAUGUGGUUGUGCGGGGGAGGGGGGUUCAGCCUCUAAAAGUAAAUUUACUGUUUAAUUCUACAAGAGCUCAGCUACAGCACAUGUUCACACAAGAAGUCUAUUCUUCCUCCAGGUUAUACUGCGAGAAAAGGGGAAGUCUCUACUCAUACUGAAAAUCUCUGUCUAAACAGAGAAUGAAUGCUUGGUGCUACCACUGGUAUUUCUCUCUUUCUAGAGCAACUGUUUAGAUAAGUGCCAAGGAGAUGUGAUCACUUUUAGGACAUGUCAAACACAACUAGUACUGCACUUAGGGGCAUAUCUUGGAAAUCAGGGAGUCACUGUCGAAACUCCCCUGGGAAUAGGAUUUGUCCAUUAAUCGUGGCCAGUCAGUGGAAAGGUUUAGUGUUAAUCAAAAGGAGACAUGUUGGGCCAUGUUCCAUAAAAACUGUUGCUGACCCAGUUUUUAAAAUGGUUGCGCUUUACCAAAAAGAAAGGCUUUUUCCUUUUAAGAGACACAGAAGUGGACCACAUGGCUAAUAGGUUUACCUACAGAGGAAUGUCCCAGAAUACUUUUAGAAUUUUGCCCAGGCCUCCCCAAACUUUCUACUCUGAAAAUAUGUUAAAAAAGUAAUAGAAAGCCUUGAACUAAUCUAAUAUCCAUUCUAUUAUUUUAAUACUUGCCUUUCUUCCAGUGUUUAGUCUGAUUGCUUCACGGUUUACAUAUUAUUCGCACAUACUAUCAUUAUUAUUAUUGUGAUUUUGCUGUUGUGUUUGGGUAAAGAGCACAACAGCAGUGUCAGUAUAUUGCUUGUAAAAUACAAAGCAGAGCAGUGUAACAUCCGUGUAUCCUCUGCAAUUAGUGUAAAGUAGUUGGAGAUGCUAUCCUAAAAAAGGUCAGAUUCUGUAUGUUUUGGUGGGUUUUAAAAUACAGAUUACAUUUAAGAUUUUUGUGUUUUUCCCAACUAUUUCUUUGAAAUCUGCUCAGCUUUUCAGACUUGUAAACCUUUAUUCCAGUCAAAGAUAACACCAAGCACAGAAGAGACAAAGAGAAUUGUUCAUCUAAGUCAAGGAUAGACAAGAAGCAUAAUUUUUCCUGGCUCAUAUCGCUACAAUCUCUCCACACCUCCCUCCUGACCGCCCCCCUCCAGAACCAAAUGACAGCACCAGUGAAGCAUUUGGCCAGCUCAUUGAGAAGGGACUCUUCAGAUUAAGUGCCCUAUCAAGAAACUGACAAUGGACCUUGGGAGACUCUAAUCCACAUGAGGAGUCUUCCUGGGAAUGUUCCAGUAAGAACAAAGGAGUGUCCUUCCACAUGGCAAAGGAUGUAAAAGGCCCUGAAAACUCUUCCAUUUUGUCUUCAAUCCUGCUUCUUACCUCUGGAGGAACUUUGCUACAAACUGAACCUCUGAACAAAGGACUGCAUGACCCAUCCAAGCUCUGG
This is a long non-coding RNA of Mauremys reevesii (Reeves's turtle), 7406 nucleotides long. RefSeq lists it as uncharacterized. The transcript has 8 exons. The record is from RefSeq and is a predicted model, not a curated record. NCBI's taxonomy places the organism in Eukaryota, Metazoa, Chordata, Testudines, Geoemydidae.